This 216-nucleotide ribosomal RNA is filed under the name Nocardia cyriacigeorgica. Its description in RNAcentral is "partial 16S ribosomal RNA". It matches the Rfam family "Bacterial small subunit ribosomal RNA", at positions 1322 to 1533 of the family's 1533-position model. Lineage: Bacteria; Bacillati; Actinomycetota; Actinomycetes; Mycobacteriales; Nocardiaceae. The record is from RNAcentral.
GAAGUUGGAGUCGCUAGUAAUCGCAGAUCAGCAACGCUGCGGUGAAUACGUUCCCGGGCCUUGUACACACCGCCCGUCACGUCAUGAAUGUCGGUAACACCCGAAGCCGGUGGCCUAACCCCUUGUGGGAGGGAGCCGUCGAAGGUGGGAUCGGCGAUUGGGACGAAGUCGUAACAAGGUAGCCGUACCGGAAGGUGCGGCUGGAUCACCUCCUUU